This 759-nucleotide long non-coding RNA is filed under the name Pongo abelii (Sumatran orangutan). RNAcentral's name for it is "lincRNA". The record is from RNAcentral. Lineage: Eukaryota; Metazoa; Chordata; Mammalia; Primates; Hominidae.
CUGUGCCUCCCAAAGGUGCUUGGGGCAGGAAAGGAAGAGCGGAACAGCCCCCAUCAAUCCAAUAGGAUUGUUGUUUUACACUGGCUAGAGCCUCAGACAUCAAACGGGCUGGAGAGUGAAGCCACGUGUGGGCUGUGAAGUUGGUGACCCUGAGGCACAGAAAGCUUAGGGAAUUUGUUCGAAGUCACACAGCUGGGUCCUUGCAGAUGUAAUCAGGUGAAGAUGGGUUCAUAUUGGAUUGGAGUAAGUCAUAAUCCACUAUGACUGGUGUCUUUAAAAGAAAAGGACACACGGAAAUUCAGAGACAGAAAGACCCACAGGGAGAAUGCCAUGUGAUGACAGAGGCAGAGACUGGAGUGAUGGGUCUAUAGCCAACGGACACCAAGGACUCCCAUCUACCAGAAGCUGGAAGAGGCAAGAAGUGGAAAAGCAUUUGGGAGGAAGUGGAACCAAAGCAGAUCCUAUCCAAGGUGAAUGGCAAGCAGCUAUACGAGGAUGGCCUUUCUCCCAGCCGGAUCUCCCGUCCUCAAGAAGGCCAGCCCAGGCUUCAUCACACAGCAGUGGAAGAGUUCUGAUUUAGGAGAAGAAGAGUGGAAGCUGCAGGUCAUGUUGAGACCUGGACUAGGAAGAGACACAAUGCCACCUCUGCCACAUUCUAGUUGUCAUUUCUGGUUGUGAAAGCAAGUCCCAGGGCCAGUCAAGAUUCAAGGAAAGGGUAAAUAGACUCCAUUACUUGAUGGGUGCAGCCAAAAAAAGUCA